UGUAGCAAUACCACCUUGGACUACGAUCCUGUCAGAUCAUAUGCAGGGUUAGGCUUGGUCAGUAUUUGAACGUGAGACCGCUGAGGAAAGGCCAGGUGUGGCAAAAA
Molecule: ribosomal RNA, 107 nt
Filed under: Chrysemys picta bellii (western painted turtle)
Lineage: Eukaryota; Metazoa; Chordata; Testudines; Emydidae
Source: RNAcentral